Molecule: ribosomal RNA, 811 nt
Filed under: uncultured microorganism
Description: bacterial SSU rRNA
Rfam family: Bacterial small subunit ribosomal RNA
Source: RNAcentral
AGAGUUUGAUCCUGGCUCAGAAUCAACGCUGGCGGCGUGCCUCAGACAUGCAAGUCGAACGCGAAAGUUCCCUUCGGGGAGCGAGUAGAGUGGCGCACGGGUGAGUAACACGUAGGUAAUUUGCCUUCGGGUGGGGAAUAACAGCCGGAAACGGCUGCUAAUACCGCAUAAUGCAGCGGCUCGACAUCGAGACAGUUGUUAAAGCGGGGGAUCGCAAGACCUCGCGCCUGAAGAGAAGCCUGCGGCAGAUUAGCUAGUUGGUAAGGUAAUGGCUUACCAAGGCGACGAUCUGUAACCGGCCUGAGAGGGCGGUCGGUCACACUGACACUGACAUACGGGUCAGACUCCUACGGGAGGCAGCAGUCGGGAAUUUUGGGCAAUGGGCGAAAGCCUGACCCAGCAACGCCGCGUGAAGGAUGAAAUUUUUCGGAAUGUAAACUUCGCAAGAAUGGGAAGAAUAAGUGUUCGUGAAUAUCGAACAUGAUGACGGUACCAUUUGUAAGCUCCGGCUAACUCCGUGCCAGCAGCCGCGGUAAUACGGGGGGAGCAAGCGUUGUUCGGAUUUACUGGGCGUAAAGGGCGCGUAGGCGGUCACUACAAGUCACUUGUGAAAUCUCCGGGCUUAACUCGGAACGGUCAAGUGAUACUGUCGGACUAGAGUACAGAAGGGGCAACUGGAAUUCUCGGUGUAGCGGUGAAAUGCGUAGAUAUCGAGAGGAACACCUGCGGCGAAGGCGGGUUGCUGGGCUGAUACUGACGCUGAGGCGCGAAAGCCAGGGGAGCGAACGGGAUUAGAUACCCGGGUAGUCCA